This 75-nucleotide antisense RNA is filed under the name Micromonospora carbonacea. RNAcentral describes it as "ASpks TB sRNA". It matches the Rfam family "ASpks TB sRNA". The record is from Rfam by way of RNAcentral. Lineage: Bacteria; Bacillati; Actinomycetota; Actinomycetes; Micromonosporales; Micromonosporaceae.
CUUGACGGACCCGAUCCACAACGGCUCGCCGGCGCGACGGUCCCGCCCGUACGUGGCGAGCAGGGCCUGGGCCUC